Molecule: ribosomal RNA, 463 nt
Filed under: uncultured Glomus
Lineage: Eukaryota; Fungi; Glomeromycota; Glomeromycetes; Glomerales; Glomeraceae
Description: SSU rRNA
Rfam family: Eukaryotic small subunit ribosomal RNA
Source: RNAcentral
CGCAGCCGCGGUAAUUCCAGCUCCAAUAGCGUAUAUUAAAGUUGUUGCAGUUAAAAAGCUCGUAGUUGAAUUUCGAGACCGGCUUACUGGUCGUGCUUUUGUACGUACUGGUAUAAUCGGUUUCUCCUUUCUGACGAACUAUAAUGCCAUUAAUUUGGUGUUAUAGGGAAUCAGGACUGUUACUUUGAAAAAAUUAGAGUGUUUAAAGCAGGCUCACGCUUGAAUACAUUAGCACGGAAUAACGGAAUAGGACGUUUGAUUCUAUUUUGUUGGUUUCUAGGAUCGACGUAAUGAUUAAUAGGGAUAGUUGGGGGCAUUAGUAUUCAAUUGUCAGAGGUGAAAUUCUUGGAUUUAUUGAAGACUAACUACUGCGAAAGCAUUUGCCAAGGAUGUUUUCAUUAAUCAAGAACGAAAGUUAGGGAUCGAAGACGAUCAGAUACCGUCGUAGUCUUAACCAUAAACU